RNAcentral lists this unclassified non-coding RNA (391 nucleotides) under soil metagenome. Its description in RNAcentral is "partial contains 5.8S ribosomal RNA, internal transcribed spacer 2, and large subunit ribosomal RNA". The stretch from base 1 to 122 matches the Rfam family "5.8S ribosomal RNA", at positions 35 to 154 of the family's 154-position model. The record is from RNAcentral.
GAUGAAGAACGUAGCGAAAUGCGAUACUUGGUGUGAAUUGCAGAAUCCCGUGAACCAUCGAGUCUCUGAACGCAAGUUGCGCCCGAAGCCACUAGGCCGAGGGCACGCCUGCCUGGGCGUCACACGUCGUUGCCCCCCCAUCUACUCCUUCGGGAUUGCGGGGGGGCGGAUGAUGGCCUCCCGUGCGCCUAGCCGCGCGGUUGGCAUAAAUACCAAGUCCUCGGCGACGCACGCCACGACAAUCGGUGGUUGCGAAACCUCGGUUGCCCGUCGUGUGCGUUCGUCGCGCAUCGAGGGCUCGAAAAAAUGCUCGGCUCCGGCUGGGCUUUCAACGCGACCCCAGGUCAGGCGGGGUUACCCGCUGAAUUUAAGCAUAUCAAUAAGCGGAGGA